CUUAGCAGUUCUAUGGUUAAAUUAAAUAAGGGAGACUGGAGUAAAAAUUUCCUGUGUAUCAAUGUCUUUUUUUGAGACAGAGUCUCACUGUCACCCAUGCUGGAGUGCAGGGACAAUCGCAGCUCAUGGUAGCCUCAACCUUCUGGGCUCAGAUAAUGAGGCACAAGAGAAACUGAAGAUCAUCUAUAUUUUAUUUUGGAAAAGAAUCACAAAUAAAUUUUAAAGUA
This is a long non-coding RNA of Cebus imitator (Panamanian white-faced capuchin), 227 nucleotides long. RefSeq lists it as uncharacterized. The record is from RefSeq and is a predicted model, not a curated record. The transcript is spliced from 2 exons. Lineage: Eukaryota; Metazoa; Chordata; Mammalia; Primates; Cebidae.